RNAcentral lists this transfer RNA (74 nucleotides) under Harpegnathos saltator (Jerdon's jumping ant). It matches the Rfam family "tRNA". From Rfam's summary of the family: Transfer RNA (tRNA) molecules are approximately 80 nucleotides in length. Lineage: Eukaryota; Metazoa; Arthropoda; Insecta; Hymenoptera; Formicidae. The record is from Rfam by way of RNAcentral.
CUUCAGAUAGCUCAGUGGUCUAGAGCAGUCGCCUGGCAAGCGAAAGACCCGAGUUCGAUUCCCCGGUCUAUAGC